GAUGAACGCUGGCGGCGUGCCUAAUGCAUGCAAGUCGAGCGAACAGACGAGGAGCUUGCUCCUCUGACGUUAGCGGCGGACGGGUGAGUAACACGUGGAUAACCUACCUAUAAGACUGGGAUAACUUCGGGAAACCGGAGCUAAUACCGGAUAAUAUAUUGAACCGCAUGGUUCAAUAGUGAAAGACGGUUUUGCUGUCACUUAUAGAUGGAUCCGCGCCGCAUUAGCUAGUUGGUAAGGUGACGGCUUACCAAGGCAACGAUGCGUAGCCGACCUGAGAGGGUGAUCGGCCACACUGGAACUGAGACACGGUCCAGACUCCUACGGGAGGCAGCAGUAGGGAAUCUUCCGCAAUGGGCGAAAGCUUGACGGAGCAACGCCGCGUGAGUGAUGAAGGUCUUCGGAUCGUAAAACUCUGUUAUUAGGGAAGAACAAAUGUGUAAGUAACUAUGCACGUCUUGACGGUACCUAAUCAGAAAGCCACGGCUAACUACGUG
RNAcentral lists this ribosomal RNA (497 nucleotides) under uncultured bacterium. RNAcentral's name for it is "partial 16S ribosomal RNA". It matches the Rfam family "Bacterial small subunit ribosomal RNA", at positions 28 to 507 of the family's 1533-position model. The record is from RNAcentral.